This 145-nucleotide unclassified non-coding RNA is filed under the name soil metagenome. Its description in RNAcentral is "partial internal transcribed spacer 1". The record is from RNAcentral.
UAAUAAGUGUUUUAUGGCACUUUUUAAAUCCAUAUCCACCUUGUGUGCAAUGUCGGUCGACCUUCUUCAUGGAGAUCGACCAAACAUCAACCUUUAUCUUUUAACUCUUUGUCUGAAAAAUAUUAUGAAUAAACAAUUCAAAAUA